This 1106-nucleotide ribosomal RNA is filed under the name Aliarcobacter butzleri. RNAcentral describes it as "bacterial SSU rRNA". It matches the Rfam family "Bacterial small subunit ribosomal RNA", at positions 268 to 1388 of the family's 1533-position model. Lineage: Bacteria; Pseudomonadati; Campylobacterota; Epsilonproteobacteria; Campylobacterales; Arcobacteraceae. The record is from RNAcentral.
CCAAGACGAUGACGCAUAACUGGUUUGAGAGGAUGAUCAGUCACACUGGAACUGACGACACGGUCCAGACUCCUACGGGAGGCAGCAGUGGGGAAUAUUGCACAAUGGACGAAAGUCUGAUGCAGCAACGCCGCGUGGAGGAUGACACAUUUCGGUGCGUAAACUCCUUUUAUAUAAGAAGAUAAUGACGGUAUUAUAUGAAUAAGCACCGGCUAACUCCGUGCCAGCAGCCGCGGUAAUACGGAGGGUGCAAGCGUUACUCGGAAUCACUGGGCGUAAAGAGCGUGUAGGCGGAUUGAUAAGUUUGAAGUGAAAUCCUAUAGCUUAACUAUAGAACUGCUUUGAAAACUGUUAAUCUAGAAUGUGGGAGAGGUAGAUGGAAUUUCUGGUGUAGGGGUAAAAUCCGUAGAGAUCAGAAGGAAUACCGAUUGCGAAGGCGAUCUACUGGAACAAUAUUGACGCUGAGACGCGAAAGCGUGGGGAGCAAACAGGAUUAGAUACCCUGGUAGUCCACGCCCUAAACGAUGUACACUAGUUGUUGUGAGGCUCGACCUUGCAGUAAUGCAGUUAACACAUUAAGUGUACCGCCUGGGGAGUACGGUCGCAAGAUUAAAACUCAAAGGAAUAGACGGGGACCCGCACAAGCGGUGGAGCAUGUGGUUUAAUUCGACGAUACACGAAGAACCUUACCUGGACUUGACAUAGUAAGAAUGAUUUAGAGAUAGAUUAGUGUCUGCUUGCAGAAACUUGCAUACAGGUGCUGCACGGCUGUCGUCAGCUCGUGUCGUGAGAUGUUGGGUUAAGUCCCGCAACGAGCGCAACCCUCGUCCUUAGUUGCUAACAGUUCGGCUGAGAACUCUAAGGAGACUGCCUACGCAAGUAGGAGGAAGGUGAGGAUGACGUCAAGUCAUCAUGGCCCUUACGUCCAGGGCUACACACGUGCUACAAUGGGGUAUACAAAGAGCAGCAAUACGGUGACGUGGAGCAAAUCUCAAAAAUGCCUCCCAGUUCGGAUUGUAGUCUGCAACUCGACUACAUGAAGUUGGAAUCGCUAGUAAUCGUAGAUCAGCUAUGCUACGGUGAAUACGUUCCCGGGUCUUGUACUC